RNAcentral lists this small RNA (142 nucleotides) under Rhodopseudomonas palustris BisA53. Its description in RNAcentral is "Alphaproteobacterial sRNA BjrC1505". It matches the Rfam family "Alphaproteobacterial sRNA BjrC1505". Lineage: Bacteria; Pseudomonadati; Pseudomonadota; Alphaproteobacteria; Hyphomicrobiales; Nitrobacteraceae. The record is from Rfam by way of RNAcentral.
ACGGUUCAUUUACUAGGCGUUAAGCUUUUUCACCUAUUACUUUGGUCGUCCAUCUUUGGACGCCGAGUGGCUCCUGUCCACUCUGCUUUGACGCCUCCCUGUUAUCAACUUCAAAGCCGCCGGCAACGGCGGCUCUUUUUUU